This 253-nucleotide ribosomal RNA is filed under the name uncultured bacterium. Its description in RNAcentral is "partial 16S ribosomal RNA". It matches the Rfam family "Bacterial small subunit ribosomal RNA", at positions 524 to 776 of the family's 1533-position model. The record is from RNAcentral.
UACGUAGGGUGCGAGCGUUGUCCGGAAUUAUUGGGCGUAAAGAGCCCGUAGGUGGUUUGCCGCGUCGUCUGUGAAAUUCCGGGGCUUAACUCCGGACGUGCAGUGGAUACGGGCAGACUGGAGUGCUGUAGGGGUGACUGGAAUUCCUGGUGUAGCGGUGGAAUGCGCAGAUAUCAGGAGGAACACCGAUGGCGAAGGCAGGUCUCUGGGCAGUUACUGACACUGAGGGGCGAAAGCAUGGGUAGCGAACAGG